AUUGAACGCUGGCGGCAGGCCUAACACAUGCAAGUCGAGCGGCAGCGGAAAGUAGCUUGCUACUUUGCCGGCGAGCGGCGGACGGGUGAGUAAUGUCCUGGGAAACUGCCUGAUGGAGGGGGGAUAACUACUGGAAACGGUAGCUAAUACCGCAUGACCCUCGAAAGAGCAAAGUGGGGGAUCUUCGGACCUCACGCCAUCGGAUGUGCCCAGAUGGGAUUAGCUAGUAGGUGAGGUAAUGGCUCACCUAGGCGACGAUCCCUAGCUGGUCUGAGAGGAUGACCAGCCACACUGGAACUGAGACACGGUCCAGACUCCUACGGGAGGCAGCAGUGGGGAAUAUUGCACAAUGGGCGCAAGCCUGAUGCAGCCAUGCCGCGUGUGUGAAGAAGGCCUUAGGGUUGUAAAGCACUUUCAGCGAGGAGGAAGGCAUCAUACUUAAUACGUGUGGUGAUUGACGUUACUCGCAGAAGAAGCACCGGCUAACUCCGUGCCAGCAGCCGCGGUAAUACGGAGGGUGCAAGCGUUAAUCGGAAUUACUGGGCGUAAAGCGCACGCAGGCGGUUUGUUAAGUCAGAUGUGAAAUCCCCGCGCUUAACGUGGGAACUGCAUUUGAAACUGGCAAGCUAGAGUCUUGUAGAGGGGGGUAGAAUUCCAGGUGUAGCGGUGAAAUGCGUAGAGAUCUGGAGGAAUACCGGUGGCGAAGGCGGCCCCCUGGACAAAGACUGACGCUCAGGUGCGAAAGCGUGGGGAGCAAACAGG
RNAcentral lists this ribosomal RNA (762 nucleotides) under uncultured Enterobacteriaceae bacterium. RNAcentral's name for it is "bacterial SSU rRNA". It matches the Rfam family "Bacterial small subunit ribosomal RNA", at positions 28 to 776 of the family's 1533-position model. Lineage: Bacteria; Pseudomonadati; Pseudomonadota; Gammaproteobacteria; Enterobacterales; Enterobacteriaceae. The record is from RNAcentral.